This 518-nucleotide ribosomal RNA is filed under the name Dysdera hungarica. Its description in RNAcentral is "partial 16S ribosomal RNA". It matches the Rfam family "Bacterial large subunit ribosomal RNA", at positions 1827 to 2708 of the family's 2925-position model. The record is from RNAcentral. Lineage: Eukaryota; Metazoa; Arthropoda; Arachnida; Araneae; Dysderidae.
CAACAUAGCUUAUGUAUGUAUUAAGUAAAUCCUGCUCAAUGAAAUUAAAUAGCCGCAGCUUAUUUUCUGUGCUAAGGUAGCAUAAUCUCUUGUCUUUUAAUUAAAGAAUAGAAUGAACGGAACAAUGAAUUUUAAACUGUCUCAAUAAUUAUAAUUAAAAUUCACUAAAAGUAAAAACACUUUUUUAAAUCAAAAAGACGACAAGACCCUGACGAACUUUACUACAGUUAAGCUGGGGCGGCUUUAUAAAAAAAUCUUAAUUUAAUCCCAUUAACCCUAUAUUUAUUUAACCAGUUACCGCAGGGAUAACAGCAUAAUUUAAUUUUUAAGCUCUUAUUUUAACUUAAGAUUAUGACCUCGAUGUUGAAUUAGAUUUCUUCUACAAGAAAAAGAAUAGAAAGAAAGUCUGUUCGACUUAUUACUAUCUACAUGAUUUGAGUUCAGACCGGUGCAAACCAGGUCGGUUUCUAUCUUUUUCUAAAAAUUACCAGUACGAAAGGACCCUAAUUUUUUUAUUA